This is a non-coding RNA of Trichobilharzia regenti, 46 nucleotides long. The record is from Rfam. Lineage: Eukaryota; Metazoa; Platyhelminthes; Trematoda; Strigeidida; Schistosomatidae.
GUACUGAUGAAGAGUCGACAACUAGAGCGAAACAGCUGUCCAGUAC